This 543-nucleotide long non-coding RNA is filed under the name Dasypus novemcinctus (nine-banded armadillo). RNAcentral describes it as "lncRNA (ENSDNOG00000052146.1)". Lineage: Eukaryota; Metazoa; Chordata; Mammalia; Cingulata; Dasypodidae. The record is from RNAcentral.
AUGGUCCGCUUCCGCCAUUCCGGUCGAAGAGCUGAAAUAAGCGCCUACCACAGAUUUGGCCUUAUCACUACCGGAGACCCCCAAAUCUUGCGAAGAAAAGGAAAUAAAGCCAUUCCGGACGCUGUCCCUCUGGGAAACGUAGUCCCUCGCCAAGAAGGUCGAGCCAGCCUGGAGAGCAGAAGGUGCAGCGUCCCACCCAGGACCGCCUUCCGGAAGCUGCCCGCCCCAACUGCGACGCGCGGGGUCCUUCCGGGAGUUUGCUUCGGCGCUCAGUGCGCAGGUGCAGGUGUCGUGCGCGCGCUGCUCGGGGGCUUGGCCCUUGAUGGGGCGGGCAGUGCUUUGGUACCAGGUUCUCUCGGUGACCUGAAAGAGGAGGCUGGCCAUCUCAGGAAUCUACUCUCCCAUGAAUGAGAAAUGAUCAAGUCUUAUGUGAGUUUUAAAUUAUGUGUUUAUUUUACUACGUUAUUCUGCAUUGUGGAUAAAGUAGAUUAUAAUAACCCUAACAAUAAAAUGAAAAGCCCUAAAUAGAUAAAAAUUGGCCAG